GAUGAACGCUGGCGGCGUGCCUAAUACAUGCAAGUCGAGCGAACGGACGAGAAGCUUGCUUCUCUGAUGUUAGCGGCGGACGGGUGAGUAACACGUGGAUAACCUACCUAUAAGACUGGGAUAACUUCGGGAAACCGGAGCUAAUACCGGAUGAUAUUUUGAACCGCAUGGUUCAAAAGUGAAAGACGGUCUUGCUGUCACUUAUAGAUGGAUCCGCGCUGCAUUAGCUAGUUGGUAAGGUAACGGCUUACCAAGGCAACGAUGCAUAGCCGACCUGAGAGGGUGAUCGGCCACACUGGAACUGAGACACGGUCCAGACGCCUACGGGAGGCAGCAGUAGGGAAUCUGCCGCAAUGGGCGAAAGCCUGACGGAGCAACGCCGCGUGAGUGAUGAAGGUCUUCGGAUCGUAAAACUCUGUUAUUAGGGAAGAACAGAUGUGUAAGUAACUGUGCACAUCUUGACGGUACCUAAUCAGAAAGCAACGGCUAACUACGUG
Molecule: ribosomal RNA, 497 nt
Filed under: uncultured bacterium
Lineage: Bacteria
Description: partial 16S ribosomal RNA
Rfam family: Bacterial small subunit ribosomal RNA
Source: RNAcentral